AGCGAACGCUGGCGGCAGGCCUAACACAUGCAAGUCGAACGAAGCUUUCGGGGUUAGUGGCGGACGGGUGAGUAACACGUGGGAACGUGCCUUUAGGUUCGGAAUAACUCAGGGAAACUUGUGCUAAUACCGAAUGUGCCCUUCGGGGGAAAGCUUUGUCGCCUUUAGAGCGGCUCGCGUCUGUUUAGCUAGUUGGUUGAGGUAAUGGCCCACCAAGGCGACGAUCAGUGGCUGGUCGGAGAGGAGGAUCAGCCACAUUGGGACUGAGACACGGCCCAAACUCCGACGGGAGGCAGCGGUGGAGAAUCUUGCGCAAUGGGCGAAAGCCUGACGCAGCCAUGCCGCGUGAAUGAUGAAGGUCUUAGGAUUGUAAAAUUCUUUCACCGGAGACGAUAAUGACGGUACCCGGAGAAGAAGCCCCGGCUAACUUCGUG
RNAcentral lists this ribosomal RNA (434 nucleotides) under uncultured bacterium. RNAcentral describes it as "partial 16S ribosomal RNA". It matches the Rfam family "Bacterial small subunit ribosomal RNA", at positions 29 to 507 of the family's 1533-position model. The record is from RNAcentral.